GCAGUCUUGUGUGCAUUAUUCUUUAUUUGUUACCUUUUUAACCUAUAAAUGCUGUUAAAUCAGGGGACGGCAAACCAUCUGGCAGAGGCACAGGACUGGACUCCUGGCACAGAGGCUGCCCUGUCACUCAACAGCCACACAAUCUUACACCGGAAACUUAAUCUCUUACCUUGAUAUUCCUUAAAUAUUACAAAAUAUUUGCAAUGGGAAUACCCACACCUGUUCUCAACUCUACUUUACAGGUCAAUAUAGGUAAAAAGCAAAGUCUUUGGAAGACAUAAAAACACUUGGAAAAUACCUUUUUAUAACACAAGGAAAAUGAUAUCGUGAUAUUUGUGAUGGAUGACAAUGAAUUAGUAAUAUCUGUUCAGUUGGCCUCACAGUACUAUUGAGAAGAUCAAAUGAGAUCACAGAAGUGGAGAGUCUAAGAGGUGCUAGACUGUAGGACUUUUGUUGGUGUUAAAUUCACACUAUCGUGUAUAUGGCUCAUAUUUACCCUGCAAGCAAAUGUGGAUAAGAGAGAUUGGGAAAUUGCAUGCGGUGUUGGAAGUGAAAGAAGCUAAGGUACAAGAAGCAAGGGACGGACUUGGGGGAGGUGCGCUGAGAGACACUGCUAAGAAUCUGCUUGGAUUGGACAGUUUUGCCAGCUUUGAAAAGUCCUCUUUGAAUUCUAUAUCAUUUUAAUACAUAAAUUACAAUGUUACUACACUACUGACUGUCAUUAAAAAAUCUAGAACGAUCUAUCUUCUAUUAUUUACUGCUCCACCCCUUCUUUGUGUUGGCUACUUGAACUUCCUAACUAAACAGCCUGUGAUCAGAGCCACAGAGGCUGGGGCAAUGAAAGGUAAACAACACUUUGCCAACUGGAAAAUAAGAUGCCGGUGACUUCUGCUUCCUGUGAACACGUCAUUAGCAAUAAAUGAGUCACCAGAUGUCACACAUCAGACUCAAAAUUAAGAUCUAUUCCAAGUAUUUGUGUGCAGUCUGAGUAGGAGUUGAAAACGAACUCUUCCCAAGAGAGCAGCCUAAGAUAACACGCCAUUUUUGCCUUCUGAUAGUUUGACCCUUUCUAAAUGUAAAAUGCAAUGCAUUCCUUGGUUUGCAAAAUGAAAAAAAAAAAAAAAACAAAAAACAAAACCACAACGCAUUUCUUCUUAGGGCUGAGGAGCAAGCAGCGUGUCAUCCUGCAGGCCCAACUGCAUAAGGCCAAGGAGGAGACUUUUGAACGUUCUGUGCCAUACCAAGACCACCAGCCCCUCUGGUUUUUAACUCUGCUAUAGCAAUUUCAUCUUUUCUCACCUUCACACCUUCAUGUUCAGUAGGUGAUCUCUCCUUUUACCACCAGCAACAAAACUGUUCAAGUCAGCAACUGUCAGCGUCAAUGCCACUCUUCCUGAACUCUGCCAUGACAGCAACCUGGGAGUGCUCACCUUUCCCCACCAGGAAACAAACUUAACUGAUUUGCUGGGUCGAGGUGACUGGAAAGAGUCUGACAUUGCUGUUUCAUGAAUGGGAUCACGUUAGUGGAAAGACGAUGACUAUGAACUUCAAGAUAGACCAUAAUAGAAGAACCAUGUUGUGUGGAUUCUUGUUAACUUCUUAAGAAACCUACUGAUGAUACAAGCUGUAGAUGCUGGAUGCUUACCUGAUGGCCUCUUUCUUGGGAUGGCUUCAGUGACUUAUUCAGAUAAAAUCCCAUUCACUUGGGGCCAAUCUCUCUUGUAAUAAAUCUGGAAAGAAAAGAAAAAGAUUAAAGUGAUUCAUGAAUGUGGUCAGCUUUUUAUUUUUUAAUUUACAAAGUAAGUAUUAACACUGCAUAUUAAGAAUGUUUUGGAAGGGAAUGAAAUCAUCUGUUCCACCUCAAGAACAUAUUUUUCUUUAUUUAGAGUUAGGUGGUACCAGGCAGCUAUCAAGGGAUCCCAUUUUUCUGUCUGCUCAUGGUCAACAGCAGCUUUCUCAAUUGCUCGUGGACACACACCAGACAAAGAAAAACAGAAUACUUUCUGGUGAAACAAUAUAAUCUUAUUCUAAGAUGGUUUCUAUAGACAUGACUACUAAAUAAAAAUUCUAUAAUGAUUUUGAUUUUUGCUUAUGAAUUUAGAGUUAAGCUUAGCUAUGUGAUCUUUCUAGUACAAAGUUUAUACAAGUGUUAUUUAACCAUAAUUUAAAAAACACCAUUGUAAAAGAACUUUUGUUCUGUUUUUCUUUUUCACAGAUAUAACACUUGUCUGUAGUUUAAAUGUUGAGUUAUAGAAGAAUAUAAAAUAAAAGUAAGCAUCUAUCUCCUUAUUCUCUCUAAUUUUGUCCCUGGAAUCACUUCCUAGAGAUAAGGCCAACUAAGAAAUUGUAUAUCCUUUAGGACUAUAAAAAAUGAAUGCAGAUACAUGUAAAUGUGUAUAUUUAUGUUGUUUCUUUUUAUGCAUAUUACUUUGCUUUUUGCUGUUUUCAUUUGUUAAUUUUGCUUAACAACUAUGGCUAACAGAACUUCCUAUAUCAGCAUUUAUAAAUCUACCUCAUUCAUUUGAUGACUACAUGAUACUUUACUUAGCUAUUCUGUUAUUCAUGAGCCUUAAAGGCUCCCCCACCCCUCAAUUUUCCUUUUGGCUGCUACAAAAAUAUUUUUUUUUUGUUUGGUUUUGAGCAACCAUAUAUUCAAGCUUUACUGUAGUAUGGUAAGAUAGAUGAAUUUUGGCAUUAGAAGGACCUACUAGCAAAAGGCAUUGUCUGUAAGGUGGCUUCUUCCAUAAAAUACCAAGGUGUUAUAAAAACUAUGGGCAGUUCUGUGGAACCAAGAGAAGAUAAUGCUAAGUGAAGUUAGCCAUUUCCAAAAAAAAAA
Long non-coding RNA from Marmota monax (woodchuck), 2836 nucleotides. RefSeq lists it as uncharacterized. The record is from RefSeq and is a predicted model, not a curated record. NCBI's taxonomy places the organism in Eukaryota, Metazoa, Chordata, Mammalia, Rodentia, Sciuridae. The transcript is spliced from 4 exons.